UGCGAUAAGUAAUGCGAAUUGCAGAAUUCAGCGAGCCAUCGAAUCUUUGAACGCACAUUGCGCCCGCCAGCAUUCUGGCGGGCAUGCCUGUCCGAGCGUCAUUUCCUCCCUCACGCAGCGCGCCUGCGUGGUGUUGGGGCGUUCUGCGGCCAGGCCUGCGCCCA
This 164-nucleotide ribosomal RNA is filed under the name Leptographium clavigerum. Its description in RNAcentral is "Grosmannia clavigera partial 5.8S ribosomal RNA". The stretch from base 1 to 101 matches the Rfam family "5.8S ribosomal RNA", at positions 54 to 154 of the family's 154-position model. Rfam says of the family: 5.8S ribosomal RNA (5.8S rRNA) is a component of the large subunit of the eukaryotic ribosome. It is transcribed by RNA polymerase I as part of the 45S precursor that also contains 18S and 28S rRNA. Functionally, it is thought that 5.8S rRNA may be involved in ribosome translocation. Lineage: Eukaryota; Fungi; Ascomycota; Sordariomycetes; Ophiostomatales; Ophiostomataceae. RNAcentral also lists the same sequence under 1 other name. The record is from RNAcentral.